Molecule: long non-coding RNA, 750 nt
Filed under: Cricetulus griseus (Chinese hamster)
Lineage: Eukaryota; Metazoa; Chordata; Mammalia; Rodentia; Cricetidae
Description: lncRNA (ENSCGRG00015037561.1)
Source: RNAcentral
CCCGGGCGAGGGAGGGGAACGGGCCGCAGGUUCAGUCCUAGCUGUGGUGUGGGUCUGGAAGAAUGCAAGAUCUUCUGGUCCCAGUUAGGAUGGUGAGCAGGGUCCUCGCUCCGAGGAAGAAUGCUGAGCGGGGUCUGGAAGAAUGCAGGGUGUCCUGGGCCAGUGGAGGAUGGUGAGCAAGGUCCUGGCUCUAGGGCGAGAUGAUGAGCUGGGUCAGAAGAGACGCGGGGUCCCUACUCCGGGGAUGAAUGCUGAACAGAAUAUGGAGGGACGCAGCGUCUCCACUCCGGGAUGGGAUGCUGAGCGGGGUGCCCAUUGCGGGGACGAGAUGCUGUACCAAGACAGGAGGGACACAGGGUCCCGUCGAGGGGCGGAAAGCUGAGCAGGUUCCUAGUUCCUGCGCAGAAUGCUGAGGUGGAUCCCGGAGCAAGGUGCCGGCCCCGGGACGGAAUGCUAAGCUGAGUCUGGCAGGCCGCAGGGUCUGGUAUACCGAGCAGGAUGCUGAACGGGGUCUGCAGGAAGCAAGGUCAGAAUUCAGCAGAGAUCACGGUCGAGGUGGACUGAAGUAUCGAAGACUGGAUUGAAGAAGUAUCGAAGACGUGCAUGGGAGAACUAAGGGACCCGCAUAGGGGAGGGUUCUGUGAUGACAGACAUCCAGUGCUGCUGAGGAUGGAACCCAGGACUUCAAGCAUGCUAGGUAAGUGCUCUACUCGCUGAGCUACAUCCCCAGCCCCAUUUCACUGAAGCCUG